UGUUACAUUGUUUACUUUUAUCCUCCCCAUGUCCUUGGAUUUGUAUGUAAUAAUUCUUUGAGACUGCAACGUUACUGUGGGGUCUGUCGAGCCUUGAAGCCAAUGUCGUAUUGUCUGUCGAUUUGUGAUAUUCAUUCUUUUUCCGGAUAAAGAAUUUCCGGAGUUACACAACACAAGAAAAAGAACGGUUUUAUUAUUAUUAUUUAUAAUACGUUUAGUGUUAGGCCAAAAGCCAGGUCGACCUCAGGACUUUGCUCUGCACUUUGCUCGAUCACAAGACAACCGCGUAUUCCAUUGUCAUAAGACCUCAGUCACAAGACAUGCUGGCUUAUUUCCCAACCACUCAAUCAGAAGCCUUAAGUGAGACUUUGGCUACAAGUAACAGAACUCCAGUCAGAAGCUCUGAGGGAGAUGUCUGACAGACAUGGAAAUGUAUUACGCAGGUAAAGCCAUCAACUGACCGUCAUGCGGCCCCUUACCCUCGGAGAUCUACAGAGAGGUGCGACAGUCCCAGGGGACAGCGGGGCUCCACAUGACGUCAUG
Molecule: long non-coding RNA, 543 nt
Organism: Branchiostoma floridae (Florida lancelet)
Lineage: Eukaryota; Metazoa; Chordata; Leptocardii; Amphioxiformes; Branchiostomatidae
Exons: 3
Source: RefSeq, a predicted model, not a curated record